GAUUAAGUUAUUAAGGGCGCACGGUGGAUGCCUUGGCACUAGAAGCCGAUGAAGGACGUUACUAACGACGAUAUGCUUUGGGGAGCUGUAAGUAAGCUUUGAUCCAGAGAUUUCCGAAUGGGGAAACCCAGCAUGAGUUAUGUCAUGUUAUCGAUAUGUGAAUACAUAGCAUAUCAGAAGGCACACCCGGAGAACUGAAACAUCUUAGUACCCGGAGGAAGAGAAAGAAAAUUCGAUUCCCUUAGUAGCGGCGAGCGAAACGGGAAGAGCCCAAACCAACAAGCUUGCUUGUUGGGGUUGUAGGACACUCUAUACGGAGUUACAAAGGACGACAUUAGACGAAUCAUCUGGAAAGAUGAAUCAAAGAAGGUAAUAAUCCUGUAGUCGAAAAUGUUGUCUCUCUUGAGUGGAUCCUGAGUACGACGGAGCACGUGAAAUUCCGUCGGAAUCUGGGAGGACCAUCUCCUAAGGCUAAAUACUCUCUAGUGACCGAUAGUGAACCAGUACCGUGAGGGAAAGGUGAAAAGCACCCCGGAAGGGGAGUGAAAUAGAACCUGAAACCGUGUGCUUACAAGUAGUCAGAGCCCGUUAAUGGGUGAUGGCGUGCCUUUUGUAGAAUGAACCGGCGAGUUACGAUUUGAUGCAAGGUUAAGCAGUAAAUGUGGAGCCGUAGCGAAAGCGAGUCUGAAUAGGGCGUUUAGUAUUUGGUCGUAGACCCGAAACCAGGUGAUCUACCCUUGGUCAGGUUGAAGUUCAGGUAACACUGAAUGGAGGACCGAACCGACUUACGUUGAAAAGUGAGCGGAUGAACUGAGGGUAGCGGAGAAAUUCCAAUCGAACCUGGAGAUAGCUGGUUCUCUCCGAAAUAGCUUUAGGGCUAGCCUCAAGUGAUGAUUAUUGGAGGUAGAGCACUGUUUGGACGAGGGGCCCCUCUCGGGUUACCGAAUUCAGACAAACUCCGAAUGCCAAUUAAUUUAACUUGGGAGUCAGAACAUGGGUGAUAAGGUCCGUGUUCGAAAGGGAAACAGCCCAGACCACCAGCUAAGGUCCCAAAAUAUAUGUUAAGUGGAAAAGGAUGUGGCGUUGCCCAGACAACUAGGAUGUUGGCUUAGAAGCAGCCAUCAUUUAAAGAGUGCGUAAUAGCUCACUAGUCGAGUGACACUGCGCCGAAAAUGUACCGGGGCUAAACAUAUUACCGAAGCUGUGGAUUGUCCUUUGGACAAUGGUAGGAGAGCGUUCUAAGGGCGUUGAAGCAUGAUCGUAAGGACAUGUGGAGCGCUUAGAAGUGAGAAUGCCGGUGUGAGUAGCGAAAGACGGGUGAGAAUCCCGUCCACCGAUUGACUAAGGUUUCCAGAGGAAGGCUCGUCCGCUCUGGGUUAGUCGGGUCCUAAGCUGAGGCCGACAGGCGUAGGCGAUGGAUAACAGGUUGAUAUUCCUGUACCACCUAUAAUCGUUUUAAUCGAUGGGGGGACGCAGUAGGAUAGGCGAAGCGUGCGAUUGGAUUGCACGUCUAAGCAGUAAGGCUGAGUAUUAGGCAAAUCCGGUACUCGUUAAGGCUGAGCUGUGAUGGGGAGAAGACAUUGAGUCUUCGAGUCGUUGAUUUCACACUGCCGAGAAAAGCCUCUAGAUAGAAAAUAGGUGCCCGUACCGCAAACCGACACAGGUAGUCAAGAUGAGAAUUCUAAGGUGAGCGAGCGAACUCUCGUUAAGGAACUCGGCAAAAUGACCCCGUAACUUCGGGAGAAGGGGUGCUCUUUAGGGUUAACGCCCAGAAGAGCCGCAGUGAAUAGGCCCAAGCGACUGUUUAUCAAAAACACAGGUCUCUGCUAAACCGUAAGGUGAUGUAUAGGGGCUGACGCCUGCCCGGUGCUGGAAGGUUAAGAGGAGUGGUUAGCUUCUGCGAAGCUACGAAUCGAAGCCCCAGUAAACGGCGGCCGUAACUAUAACGGUCCUAAGGUAGCGAAAUUCCUUGUCGGGUAAGUUCCGACCCGCACGAAAGGCGUAACGAUUUGGGCACUGUCUCAACGAGAGACUCGGUGAAAUCAUAGUACCUGUGAAGAUGCAGGUUACCCGCGACAGGACGGAAAGACCCCGUGGAGCUUUACUGUAGCCUGAUAUUGAAAUUCGGCACAGCUUGUACAGGAUAGGUAGGAGCCUUUGAAACGUGAGCGCUAGCUUACGUGGAGGCGCUGGUGGGAUACUACCCUAGCUGUGUUGGCUUUCUAACCCGCACCACUUA
Molecule: ribosomal RNA, 2239 nt
Filed under: Staphylococcus aureus
Lineage: Bacteria; Bacillati; Bacillota; Bacilli; Caryophanales; Staphylococcaceae
Description: partial 23S ribosomal RNA
Rfam family: Bacterial large subunit ribosomal RNA
Source: RNAcentral